UAGGGAAUCUUCCACAAUGGGCGAAAGCCUGAUGGAGCAACGCCGCGUGUGUGAUGAAGGGUUUCGGCUCGUAAAACACUGUUGUAAGAGAAGAAUGACAUUGAGAGUAAUGUUCAAUGUGUGACGGUAUCUUACCAGAAAGGAACGGCUAAAUACGUGCCAG
Molecule: ribosomal RNA, 163 nt
Filed under: uncultured bacterium
Lineage: Bacteria
Description: partial 16S ribosomal RNA
Rfam family: Bacterial small subunit ribosomal RNA
Source: RNAcentral